UACGGAGGGUGCAAGCGUUAUCCGGAUUCACUGGGUUUAAAGGGAGCGUAGGUGGGCAGGUAAGUCAGUGGUGAAAUCUUCGAGCUUAACUCGGAAACUGCCGUUGAUACUAUCUGUCUUGAAUACCGUGGAGAUGAGCGGAAUAUGUCAUGUAGCGGUGAAAUGCUUAGAUAUGACAUAGAACACCAAUUGCGAAGGCAGCUCGCUACACAUAUAUUGACUCUGAGGCACGAAAGCGUGGGGAUCAAACAGG
This 253-nucleotide ribosomal RNA is filed under the name uncultured bacterium. Its description in RNAcentral is "partial 16S ribosomal RNA". It matches the Rfam family "Bacterial small subunit ribosomal RNA", at positions 524 to 776 of the family's 1533-position model. The record is from RNAcentral.